This 463-nucleotide ribosomal RNA is filed under the name Vreelandella stevensii. Its description in RNAcentral is "partial 16S ribosomal RNA". It matches the Rfam family "Bacterial small subunit ribosomal RNA", at positions 338 to 792 of the family's 1533-position model. Lineage: Bacteria; Pseudomonadati; Pseudomonadota; Gammaproteobacteria; Oceanospirillales; Halomonadaceae. The record is from RNAcentral.
CCUACGGGUGGCUGCAGUGGGGAAUAUUGGACAAUGGGCGAAAGCCUGAUCCAGCCAUGCCGCGUGUGUGAAGAAGGCCUUCGGGUUGUAAAGCACUUUCAGUGGGGAAGAAAGCCUUGGGGCUAAUACCCUCGAGGAAGGACAUCACCCACAGAAGAAGCACCGGCUAACUCCGUGCCAGCAGCCGCGGUAAUACGGAGGGUGCGAGCGUUAAUCGGAAUUACUGGGCGUAAAGCGCGCGUAGGCGGUCUGAUAAGCCGGUUGUGAAAGCCCCGGGCUCAACCUGGGAACGGCAUCCGGAACUGUCAGUCUAGUGUACAGGAGAGGAGGGGAAAAUUCGCUGUGUCGGGGUGAAAUGCGGAGAUAUCGGGAGGAAUACCAGGGGCGAGGGCGGCCUUCGGGAGAGACACUGACGCUGGGGUGCGAAAGCGUGUGGAGCAAACGGGAAGAGAUACCCCGUGUC